This 46-nucleotide transfer RNA is filed under the name Dicotyles tajacu (collared peccary). RNAcentral's name for it is "Pecari tajacu (collared peccary) partial tRNA-Lys". Lineage: Eukaryota; Metazoa; Chordata; Mammalia; Artiodactyla; Tayassuidae. The record is from RNAcentral.
UAACCUUUUAAGUUAAAGACUAGGAGUCUAAGYCUCCUCUUAAUGA